RNAcentral lists this ribosomal RNA (438 nucleotides) under Stenotrophomonas hibiscicola. RNAcentral describes it as "bacterial SSU rRNA". It matches the Rfam family "Bacterial small subunit ribosomal RNA", at positions 109 to 543 of the family's 1533-position model. Lineage: Bacteria; Pseudomonadati; Pseudomonadota; Gammaproteobacteria; Lysobacterales; Lysobacteraceae. The record is from RNAcentral.
AGGAAUACAUCGGAAUCUACUUUUUCGUGGGGGAUAACGUAGGGAAACUUACGCUAAUACCGCAUACGACCUACGGGUGAAAGCAGGGGAUCUUCGGACCUUGCGCGAUUGAAUGAGCCGAUGUCGGAUUAGCUAGUUGGCGGGGUAAAGGCCCACCAAGGCGACGAUCCGUAGCUGGUCUGAGAGGAUGAUCAGCCACACUGGAACUGAGACACGGUCCAGACUCCUACGGGAGGCAGCAGUGGGGAAUAUUGGACAAUGGGCGCAAGCCUGAUCCAGCCAUACCGCGUGGGUGAAGAAGGCCUUCGGGUUGUAAAGCCCUUUUGUUGGGAAAGAAAUCCAGCUGGCUAAUACCCGGUUGGGAUGACGGUACCCAAAGAAUAAGCACCGGCUAACUUCGUGCCAGCAGCCGCGGUAAUACAAAGGGUGCAAGCGUUA